RNAcentral lists this small RNA (266 nucleotides) under Cryptococcus neoformans H99. RNAcentral's name for it is "Cryptococcus neoformans var. grubii H99 hypothetical RNA". Lineage: Eukaryota; Fungi; Basidiomycota; Tremellomycetes; Tremellales; Cryptococcaceae. The record is from RNAcentral.
CUGCUUCGAAUCUCGAAGUUCUUCAUGGCGGGAGCGUUCCUGAAGAUCUGCCAGGAUCCUCCCCAAUCCGAUGUUGGAAUUGGUGGCGCACAAGGAUCACAAUCAUUUAGGACACCGGCGAGCCAACCGUCUCGAUUGUUGACUGAUAGUAAUGCAAAUGGCCACCAUCGAAAGGGUAUCCGAGGUUAAAGGAUAGGAACUUCUUGACUCAAAAGGAAGAUUUGUCAUUUGAUAUUGUUUGUUUCAUGUUAUCGUGAUAGAGAUUG